GACGAACGCUGGCGGCGUGCUUAACACAUGCAAGUCGAACGGAAGGGCCCUGCUUUUGUGGGGUGCUCGAGUGGCGAACGGGUGAGUAACACGUGAGUAACCUGCCCUUGACUUUGGGAUAACUUCAGGAAACUGGGGCUAAUACCGGAUAGGAGCUCCUGCUGCAUGGUGGGGGUUGGAAAGGUUCGGCGGUUGGGGAUGGACUCGCGGCUUAUCAGCUUGUUGGUGGGGUAGUGGCUUACCAAGGCUUUGACGGGUAGCCGGCCUGAGAGGGUGACCGGCCACACUGGGACUGAGAUACGGCCCAGACUCCUACGGGAGGCAGCAGUGGGGAAUAUUGCACAAUGGGCGGAAGCCUGAUGCAGCAACGCCGCGUGCGGGAUGACGGCCUUCGGGUUGUAAACCGCUUUCGCCUGUGACGAAGCGUGAGUGACGGUAAUGGGUAAAGAAGCACCGGCUAACUACGUG
Molecule: ribosomal RNA, 468 nt
Filed under: uncultured bacterium
Lineage: Bacteria
Description: partial 16S ribosomal RNA
Rfam family: Bacterial small subunit ribosomal RNA
Source: RNAcentral